CCUACGGGAGGCAGCAGUGAGGAAUAUUGGUCAAUGGACGAGAGUCUGAACCAGCCAAGUAGCGUGAAGGAUGACUGCCCUAUGGGUUGUAAACUUCUUUUAUAUGGGAAUAAAACGUUCCACGUGUGGGAUUUUGUAUGUACCAUAUGAAUAAGGAUCGGCUAACUCCGUGCCAGCAGCCGCGGUAAUACGGAGGAUCCGAGCGUUAUCCGGAUUUAUUGGGUUUAAAGGGAGCGUAGGUGGAUUGUUAAGUCAGUUGUGAAAGUUUGCGGCUCAACCGUAAAAUUGCAGUUGAAACUGGCAGUCUUGAGUACAGUAGAGGUGGGCGGAAUUUGUGGUGUAGCGGUGAAAUGCUUAGAUAUCACGAAGAACUCCGAUUGCGAAGGCAGUUCACUGGACUGCAACUGACACUGAGGCUCGAAAGUGUGGGUAUCAAACAGGAUUAGAUACCCCGGUAGUC
Molecule: ribosomal RNA, 460 nt
Filed under: uncultured bacterium
Lineage: Bacteria
Description: partial 16S ribosomal RNA
Rfam family: Bacterial small subunit ribosomal RNA
Source: RNAcentral